Molecule: unclassified non-coding RNA, 403 nt
Filed under: Hevea brasiliensis (rubber tree)
Lineage: Eukaryota; Viridiplantae; Streptophyta; Magnoliopsida; Malpighiales; Euphorbiaceae
Source: RNAcentral
CUCUCUCUCUCUCUCCACUUAUCCAGAAACACAAUUCUUUCAAUAUCCAGUACUCUUUAACUUUUCGUUUCUGCUUAAUAACAAGCCAUGCCAAGAAUCAAUUUUCCAUGAAGCAAUUUGCUAUUUAACAAAUUUGCAGGAAUAGGAGCUAACAAAAUUUUUAUCAACUCCCCAUACUCUUACAAUCAGAUUAUAUUCUACUCAAAACCUGGUUUACAAAAAAAGCCUAAAUCAAAAGAUGCAUAGUAAAUGAUGAAAGCAAUCAAAUAUAGAGGAGUACACUAACAAUACUUUAAAAUUGCUAAUAUUGUGGCUUAUGUCAGAAUUACCCUAAACAGGGUGGAACAGAGGCAAAUAAUUCAUAUAGCUGAAAAGUUUAGAUGAGUUGUGCAUGUCAUUAUCA